Molecule: long non-coding RNA, 219 nt
Filed under: Elaeis guineensis (African oil palm)
Lineage: Eukaryota; Viridiplantae; Streptophyta; Magnoliopsida; Arecales; Arecaceae
Description: long non-coding RNA (EGUI_LNC041579)
Source: RNAcentral
UUGGCUGAACUUGGGAUAAAUUAUGAAAAGAAAAUACAGUUGAAUUGCUGAAAAUUCUUGAGUUUAUAUUGAGAUUUAGCUAAACUUAAAGUAGGGUAAUAUAAUAGAAUAAAAAUAAAAGUUAGAAGGGCUAAAGAAUAAGCAUAAAAGCAAAGCAUGCAUUCUCAUAUUUAUGUAUCAUAUAAGUACUGCAUUAAUAAGUGUGUACCAACUUUAUAG